UAGGGAAUCUUCCACAAUGGACGCAAGUCUGAUGGAGCAACGCCGCGUGAGUGAAGAAGGUUUUCGGAUCGUAAAGCUCUGUUGUUGGUGAAGAAGGAUAGAGGCAGUAACUGGUCUUUAUUUGACGGUAAUCAACCAGAAAGUCACGGCUAACUACGUGCCAGCAGCCGCGGUAAUACGUAGGUGGCAAGCGUUGUCCGGAGUUAUUGGGCGUAAAGCGAGCGCAGGCGGAAUGAUAAGUCUGAUGUGAAAGCCCACGGCUCAACCGUGGAACUGCAUCGGAAACUGUCAUUCUUGAGUGCAGAAGCGGCGAGUGGAAUUCCAUGUGUAGCGGUGGAAGGCGUAGAUAUAUGGAAGAACACCAGUGGCGAAGGCGGCUCUCUGGUCUGCAACUGACGCUGAGGCUCGAAAGCAUGGGUAGCGAACAGG
RNAcentral lists this ribosomal RNA (429 nucleotides) under bacterium. RNAcentral's name for it is "partial 16S ribosomal RNA". It matches the Rfam family "Bacterial small subunit ribosomal RNA", at positions 355 to 776 of the family's 1533-position model. The record is from RNAcentral.